UCCCUGGUGGCUCAGAUGGUAAAGAAUCUGCCUGCAAUGCUGGAGACCCAGGUCCAGUCCCUGGCUCGGGAA
Molecule: transfer RNA, 72 nt
Filed under: Ovis aries (sheep)
Lineage: Eukaryota; Metazoa; Chordata; Mammalia; Artiodactyla; Bovidae
Rfam family: tRNA
About the family: Transfer RNA (tRNA) molecules are approximately 80 nucleotides in length. Their secondary structure includes four short double-helical elements and three loops (D, anti-codon, and T loops). Further hydrogen bonds mediate the characteristic L-shaped molecular structure. tRNAs have two regions of fundamental functional importance: the anti-codon, which is responsible for specific mRNA codon recognition, and the 3' end, to which the tRNAs corresponding amino acid is attached (by aminoacyl-tRNA synthetases). tRNAs cope with the degeneracy of the genetic code in two manners: having more than one tRNA (with a specific anti-codon) for a particular amino acid; and 'wobble' base-pairing, i.e. permitting non-standard base-pairing at the 3rd anti-codon position.
Source: Rfam by way of RNAcentral